RNAcentral lists this ribosomal RNA (468 nucleotides) under uncultured bacterium. Its description in RNAcentral is "partial 16S ribosomal RNA". It matches the Rfam family "Bacterial small subunit ribosomal RNA", at positions 28 to 507 of the family's 1533-position model. The record is from RNAcentral.
GACGAACGCUGGCGGCGUGCUUAACACAUGCAAGUCGAACGGAAAGGCCCUGCUUUUGUCGGGUGCUCGAGUGGCGAACGGGUGAGUAACACGUGAGUAACCUGCCCUGGGCUUUGGGAUAACUUCAGGAAACUGGGGUUAAUACCGGAUAGGUGCUCCUGCUUCAUGGUGAGGGUUGGAAAGUUUCGGCGGUUGGGGAUGGACUCGCGGCUUAUCAGCUUGUUGGUGGGGUAGUGGCUUACCAAGGCUUUGACGGGUAGCCGGCCGAGGAGGGUGACCGGCCACAUCGGGACUGAGAUACGGCCCCGGCUCCUACGGGUGGCAGCAGUGGCGAAUAUUGCACAAUGGGCGUGAGCCUGAUGCAGAAGCGCCGCGUGCGGGAUAACGAGCUGCGGGUUGUAAUCCACUUUCGCCUGUGACGGAGCGUGAGUGACGGUAAUGGGUAAAGAAGCACCGGCUAACUACGUG